The sequence is a ribosomal RNA, 436 nucleotides long. It matches the Rfam family "Bacterial small subunit ribosomal RNA", at positions 341 to 792 of the family's 1533-position model.
ACGGGAGGCAGCAGUGGGGAAUAUUGGGCAAUGGGCGAAAGCCUGACCCAGCAACGCCGCGUGAAGGAAGAAGGUCUUCGGAUUGUAAACUUCUUUUAUGAGGGGCGAAUGAAUGACGGUACCUCAUGAAUAAGCCACGGCUAACUACGUGCCAGCAGCCGCGGUAAUACGUAGGGGGCAAGCGUUAUCCGGAUUUACUGGGUGUAAAGGGCGCGUAGGCGGGAAAGCAAGUCAGAUGUGAAAUCCAUGGGCUUAACUCAUGAACUGCAUUUGAAACUGUUUUUCUUGAGUGUCGGAGAGGUAGAUGGAAUUCCUAGUGUAGCGGUGAAAUGCGUAGAUAUUAGGAAGAACACCAGUGGCGAAGGCGAGCUACUGGACGAUAACUGACGCUGAGGCGCGAAAGCGUGGGGAGCAAACAGGAUUAGAUACCCUGGUA